GAUGGAACGUCAGUCUCUAGAAUAAAGUUAGCAGAAACGGUCACUGGAAUUCAACGAUGCUUAAACGGGAACACGACAUUAUCAGGUUGGAUAUUUCCUAGCGUUCACAUCUUUCCAUCGGACUUCACACUACCAAGUGUCAAAUCACCUUCUGGAGAAAUGUUGGCCCUGCGAAUGAACGAAUAGCGGGGUGCCUGCUCCCCAAGCGAACCUAUUAUGGCUCCACCAUCGUGGCUUUCAUCACUGAGCAGACCUAACAGACCGAGGAACCACAUUAGAACGACCAGCUGCAGCUCUCCUGUUUGGCUGCCGCUGUUUCUAGAUGACUUGAUACGAGACUCGAGCAAAGCUGGGGGUAAAAAGUAGUGUUUCUCAGUGCGCUUCUCGGUUUUUAUCUGACCUUCUGUGUCCCUUUCUAUCUGUCAAGUUCCCUCCACCAAGGUACCAACGCUUGCAGAGACAAACUCUUCUCCCGAAGACGCUGGACCCGUUUGAAGAUCAGGGUUACUUGGAACAACCUUUAAGUGUGCUGCACUUAUCCUAAUAUUUUUCCCGCUAGAUAGAGAUUUCAGCAAAACAUCUGUUCCAUUUUUCUGAACCACUUGAAAUUGCUCGGGUGAAUAGUCGGCACUGACUUUGUUCUUUUUUGACGUAGGACUACGUCUUUCAUUUCUAUACCGGGGUGUAAAAUCAAAGUUUCGAAAACGAAAGCGUUACGCCGGAGACCGAGAUUUUGAGCGUUAAUAGCUCCUAAACAACUGAACGAAAUGGUAUGAUAAACACUUCAUUCGAAAGACGUUAUAUACUUGUUACUUUUGACGUAGGACUACGUCUAACCGGAAGAUAUAGGGGGUGAAAUGGAAAUCUAGGCACUGAACAAGUAGGAAAAAAUGCAAGAUUUGGAACGCUUAUAACUCGAGCAUUUCUCAAUAGAUCGCAAAGGUUUUUGCAUCAAUUGAUAGGAAAUAUAUCUACGCAUCUAUCAUAACGAAUAA
Long non-coding RNA from Toxorhynchites rutilus septentrionalis, 995 nucleotides. RefSeq lists it as uncharacterized. The record is from RefSeq and is a predicted model, not a curated record. The transcript has 4 exons. Lineage: Eukaryota; Metazoa; Arthropoda; Insecta; Diptera; Culicidae.